CAGUCGCCACGGUAAUACGGAGGGUGCAAGCGUUAAUCGGAAUUACUGGGCGUAAAGCGUGCGUAGGUGGUGGUUUAAGUCCGUUGUGAAAGCCCUGGGCUCAACCUGGGAAUUGCAGUGGAUACUGGAUCACUAGAGUGUGGUAGAGGAUAGUGGAAUUUCCGGUGUAGCAGUGAAAUGCGUAGAGAUCGGAAGGAACAUCUGUGGCGAAGGCGACUAUCUGGGCCAACACUGACACUGAGGCACGAAAGCGUGGGGAGCAAGCAGGAUUAGAGACCCCCGUAGUCCCUGUCUCUUAUAC
RNAcentral lists this ribosomal RNA (301 nucleotides) under uncultured bacterium. RNAcentral's name for it is "partial 16S ribosomal RNA". It matches the Rfam family "Bacterial small subunit ribosomal RNA", at positions 509 to 807 of the family's 1533-position model. The record is from RNAcentral.